GGUUGUGGCUCAAUGGUAGAGUGCUUGCCUCACAUGUGUGAGACACUGGGUUCAUUUCUCAGUACCA
RNAcentral lists this transfer RNA (67 nucleotides) under Marmota monax (woodchuck). RNAcentral describes it as "tRNA.Val". Lineage: Eukaryota; Metazoa; Chordata; Mammalia; Rodentia; Sciuridae. The record is from RNAcentral.